UCUCUCUCUACCUCCUCCCCAGCCUGCUACGGUUUAAGGCAACAACCUACCGUCUCCGUCACCAAGCCGGCUUACAGAGACCUUCUCGAGAAGACAGCCAAAGUCACCUGCACGGCCAUUGGUUUGAACCUCAAAAACACAAAGAUCACAUGGCAGGUGGAUGGCCAGCCCAGCGCUGAUGUCCCGGACAACAUGGCCCAACCCAAUGCCAUUGAAGGUCCCAACGUGACCAGUUCUCACCCAGUCUCUUUGGCACAGUGGAAGAAAGGCACCACCUUCACCUGCAAAGUAGCCGGUGGUUGCUAUGAAGACGUCAUCCAAGCAGUGGAAGUCAAGAAGGAAACCGAGGCCCCUGAGAAGCCUUCCAUCACCCUUGCUCGAGCCUCCCUCGGCGUCUCCCUUGAAAACAGCACCGCCCUGAUCCUUGUCUGUGAUGUGAUCGGUUUCUUCCCAAGAGAAAUUAGCAUCUCAUGGAGGAAGGAUGGUGUACCCCUAAACGAGACACUGUAUGAGAAUGGGGUUGUGACCGCGGCCACCAGGAAUUUAUUCAAGACUUACAGCAUCCUGAAAUUGGGCAGAGAGGAAGCAGGAGGGAAGGGUGGCCGUUACAGCUGUGUGGUCUACCAUUCCUCCUCUGAUACAGAAAUCAUUGCCAGUGAAAAUGUUUCCUUUGGUAAGUGGACCUCCUAAGAGGGGAACAAGUGUAAA
Non-coding RNA from Pogona vitticeps (central bearded dragon), 708 nucleotides. The record is from the annotation of a RefSeq genome assembly. Lineage: Eukaryota; Metazoa; Chordata; Lepidosauria; Squamata; Agamidae.